This 425-nucleotide ribosomal RNA is filed under the name uncultured bacterium. Its description in RNAcentral is "partial 16S ribosomal RNA". It matches the Rfam family "Bacterial small subunit ribosomal RNA", at positions 354 to 796 of the family's 1533-position model. The record is from RNAcentral.
GUGGGGAAUCUUGCGCAAUGGGCGAAAGCCUGACGCAGCCAUGCCGCGUGAAUGAUGAAGGUCUUAGGAUUGUAAAAUUCUUUCACCGGGGACGAUAAUGACGGUACCCGGAGAAGAAGCUCCGGCUAACUUCGUGCCAGCAGCCGCGGUAAUACGAAGGGGGCUAGCGUUGCUCGGAAUUACUGGGCGUAAAGGGCGCGUAGGCGGACAGCUUAGUCAGAGGUGAAAGCCCAGGGCUCAACCUUGGAAUUGCCUUUGAUACUGGCUGUCUUGAGUUUGGGAGAGGUGAGUGGAACUCCGAGUGUAGAGGUGAAAUUCGUAGAUAUUCGGAAGAACACCAGUGACGAAGGCGACUCACUGGCCCAAUACUGACGCUGAGGCGCGAAAGCGUGGGGAGCAAACAGGAUUAGAUACCCUGGUAGUCC